Molecule: ribosomal RNA, 420 nt
Filed under: Streptomyces sp. di188
Lineage: Bacteria; Bacillati; Actinomycetota; Actinomycetes; Kitasatosporales; Streptomycetaceae
Description: bacterial LSU rRNA
Rfam family: Bacterial large subunit ribosomal RNA
Source: RNAcentral
GACGGGAUGGUUUGGCACCUCGAUGUCGGCUCGUCGCAUCCUGGGGCUGGAGUCGGUCCCAAGGGUUGGGCUGUUCGCCCAUUAAAGCGGUACGCGAGCUGGGUUUAGAACGUCGUGAGACAGUUCGGUCCCUAUCCGCUGUGCGCGUAGGAGUCUUGAGAAGGGCUGUCCCUAGUACGAGAGGACCGGGACGGACGAACCUCUGGUGUGCCAGUUGUUCUGCCAAGGGCAUGGCUGGUUGGCUACGUUCGGGAGGGAUAACCGCUGAAAGCAUCUAAGCGGGAAGCCUGCUUCGAGAUGAGGACUCCCACCCACUUGAUGGGGUAAGGCUCCCAGUAGACGACUGGGUUGAUAGGCCGGAUAUGGAAGCACGGUAACGUGUGGAGUUGACCGGUACUAAUAGGCCGAGGGCUUGUCCUC